Molecule: ribosomal RNA, 494 nt
Filed under: uncultured bacterium
Lineage: Bacteria
Description: partial 16S ribosomal RNA
Rfam family: Bacterial small subunit ribosomal RNA
Source: RNAcentral
GACGAACGCUGGCGGCGUGCUUAACACAUGCAAGUCGAACGGUGAAGCGCCUUCCUUUGUGGUGGGUGUGGGUGAGUGGCGAACGGGUGAGUAACACGUGGGUAACCUGCCCCCUUCUGCUGGAUAACCGCAGGAAAUUGUGGCUAAUACGGGAUAUUCUGGGUCUGUAGCAUGAUGGGUCGGGUUAAGUUGUUGUUUCGGUGGGGGAUGGGCGCGCGGCCUAUCCGCUUGUUGGUGGGGUGAUGGCCUACCAAGGCGGUGACGGGUAGCCGGCCUGGGCGGGUGGACGGUCACACUGGGACGGAGACACGGCCCAGACUGCAACGGGAGACAGCAGUGAGGACUAUGGCACAAAGGGCGCAAGAAUGAUGCAGCGACGCCGCGUGAGGGAUGGAGGCCUUCGGGUUGUGAACCUCAUUCGCUAGUGAAGCAGGCCUGCCUCGUUUGUGGGUGGGUUGACGGUAGCUGGAGAAGAAGCGCCGGCUAACUACGUG